AUUAGAGUUUGAUCCAUGGCUCAGAACGAACGCUGGCGGCAGGCCUCAUACAUGCAAGUCGAACGAUAAGCCACCUUCGGGUGGUGGAAAGUGGCGCACGGGUGAGUAACGCGUGGGAAUCUGCCUCUUGGUACGGGAUAACUCAGGGAAACUUGUGCUAAUACCGUAUAGUCCCUUCGGGGUAAAGAUUUAUCGCCAAGAGAUGAGCCCGCGUCGGAUUAGCUUGUUGGUGGGGUAAUGGCCUACCAAGGCAACGAUCCGUAGCUGGUCUGAGAGGAUGAUCAGCCACACUGGGACUGAGACACGGCCCAGACUCCUACGGGAGGCAGCAGUAGGGAAUAUUGGACAAUGGGGGCAACCCUGAUCCAGCCAUGCCGCGUGAGUGAUGACGGCCCUAGGGUUGUAAAGCUCUUUCGUCAGGGAAGAUAAUGAC
Molecule: ribosomal RNA, 433 nt
Filed under: uncultured bacterium
Lineage: Bacteria
Description: bacterial SSU rRNA
Rfam family: Bacterial small subunit ribosomal RNA
Source: RNAcentral